Long non-coding RNA from Oncorhynchus kisutch (coho salmon), 2451 nucleotides. RefSeq lists it as uncharacterized. The transcript has 3 exons. The record is from RefSeq and is a predicted model, not a curated record. NCBI's taxonomy places the organism in Eukaryota, Metazoa, Chordata, Actinopteri, Salmoniformes, Salmonidae.
UCCACUCUCUCCCUCUCUCUGCCUUUGUGUGCAGCACACCUGAGCUGAACCUGACACUCACCACUGAACGAACUGAGCACCGUGGAAGAACGAGGGGAGUCGAGGCGAAACGAGCCAGAAAGAGAGAAAAAGGAAAAGGAAGAAAGAGAACUGAAGCCCUCAACGCAAUGCCCCAUGGUACAUAACAUCUCUUCACCUUUCCGCCUAAUUGAUAGAAGACAGAUCCAUCACUAUGUCUGCGAGCUGAACACACACCCCUAGGACAGUUAUUGGCCUGUCCAUGACUGAGUACUGAGACAGUGGGUAGAGACAAUGUGGUGUUAAACGCACAUGGAAGAAUCCGGAUGUAUUGACCAGACCAGGACUAGACGGCUCAUCAAGGUUGUGGUUUAGACGGAUCUGUUGUCUCGACGGGGAAUGUUAAUCACCUCGAUGCUCUGUCGGCACCGACGCCACAGACACCACUAAUCACACCAUGAAGACAAACUGUGCCUGUGUUGGAUCCUAAAUGCUAGCUUUGGGUGGGUAACUUUUGAACUAAUAUCCCAUUCACCAUGAAAUAGAAAUGGGGACCCGCUAUUGGACGACAAACGGAGAUAGGCAGUGGAAAAAAGGAACCAGCAGUGGGGUUUAUAGACUACAGACAAAUGUACACAAUGGCUUUGAUGCAGAGGAUACCUUUCCAACGACUGACUGUGUUUCCCGCUGGCGUUCUAGUUUGCGAGUAUCUUAAUGGAAUGGCACGCGUCACAGGAUCCUAAGUAAACAUACAGACACACAGUCACACACGCAGACAUCCCAGCAGAUGUGACGGCACGUCACUUCACCCUUCAGACGGAGAAUCAGUGCCUGCACAAAGCCAUACCUGGAACUCACACAUGGGGUGUCAGGCAUGGCAUUCACAAAGAAAAUGAUCAUCCAUCAACAUUGUACAAGGAGUGCGUUUUCUAUUACAGGGAUUACUCCUUUACCAAAAACAACCGUUUAAAAAAAGCAACCAACGUAUACAGUAUGGUAAAUUGAUUUAUUAUCUCUUAAGCUGAGGGCUGUGUUGGUUUUUUGGAUAAGCAGUGGCUUUGUGUCAUGAACAAUUCCUGUUCCCCACUUUCCACAGAAGCCUGGUGAAUGUGACUGCCAUUGGAGCAGAAGCCGAUUGGCUUCUGUUUGGAAGCUUUCAAAUGCUUUGACUGGCAGCUGUGUUCUAGGAGGCGGGACUUUAUCUUCCUACUCUUCAUGCUUGUUUUGAUAACUGCAAACCCCAACAACCCCCCCCCCCCAACACACACACACACACUUAUUGUGAUUUUCUAUUCAUUUCAUAAGGAUUAUCCAGCAUUUCUCUCAUAUGUUGGGCACAUUGUAUCCCCUCCAGUCUCUGAAGAGCAACACGCUCGCUCUUCAAAGCUACUCCACCACAAUUGUUGCCUCAGUCACCUAUUAUAAACAAGCCAUUUUUUGAGAGAAAGGCCGUAAUUGUGUGAAAGUGUGCCACAAAUGGCUUUGUAGCAUUACUGCAGCCCCUUUCUUCAUUGUACCCCUGUACACCAGCGCUGAAAGCUCUCUCCAAUUGAAGUUUUGCUUUCAUCCGGCAUAAAAGCUCUGUCUGCGAGUGAGUUGUGGGUGAGAAGGAACGUACUCCGUCUACUCCACACACGGUGAGCAGGCUGCAGCUAGUGGCCACUGGGAAAUCAAGGAGCACUUUGUCAUGCAUCCUUAAAUGUGUGACACAGCGUCCCGGGAGACAGAGGCUGAUUGGUCUAGGAGGCGUCGAAGAGAGAUGGCUCGCCUGUGUCCUGCUCCCAGAGAUGAACCAAGUGCUAUCCACCAAGCAUGGGCUCUCACAAGUGAGGAGAACCAUCCUACUGCAGUUUGAACGAGCCCUACUGUCACCAUUUAGAUAUUGAGACGGCAUAUGCAUUUGCCUGCUGUGAUAUCUUUUGUGGGUAACUACAGAAAUACACGCGCUUGUUUGAGCAUCUCCAAGACUUCAUUCAAUGUAGAAUCAGUGUAACAGGUGACAAACAGAUUAUUCUACUAUCGUAGAAUUCUAUUGUUCCCUUCAGGAGCCCAGGCUUUUGCCAUAGAUGGUGGAGUUCACAUCUCUGUACCAGACAAGCUUUAGACAGCAUUCUGCUAAGGCACUUGUCUCUCUCAACAUCGUUCAGCUACAUUGGUGAUACGCCUAUGAGACCCGGGCACACAAAUGAUCCUGGAGAGAAGGGGGACUACUGAAGAAUGAGUUGAUGACAGUUCUACAGUCUCCAUCAGAGGCCCAGGCUUUUGGCAUAGACGGUAAAAGCUCUCAUUUCCGGAUUGCAACAUUGCGAGAUUGUGCCCUCCACGCCACUUGAUAUACGUUGAUUGGUAGGUGACACUAUAUUUAGAUACUUGAAAUACUGACUGACACACCUUUGCUAUUUGUCUCCGUACUCAAUAAAUGGUGAAACACUA